CAGAGCACUCUUCUGUCUGUAGAUGUCUCAGCUGCUCUACAAGGGGGUCCCAUUUCAGGUGUGGGGCUAGGCAUGGUCACUCCUGCUGGAUGUCUAGAAGGUGGAAAUUAAGGACCAAGAAAAUACCAGAUACAGCCUUUCCACCCUCAUCCAGAGCAGGACAAACAGGCCAGGUGGUGUCAGGAGCCCAGGUCUCCAGCUGGAGGGAACGUCAACCCUGCAGUGGGAGCAGGGGCCCAUCGCACAUCCUAGGCACAGAUGCUAAUGUAGGCACCGCAGGUAAGCUGGGCUUUGUACCCUUCCCUGGCUUCAGAAAGAAGCCAACAAGGAGCGUUUUGCAGAAUGAAACCUUUCUUUCCAGAAGCACUGCUGACUGUAAGUGGCUGCCAUUUGUGGCAGUGAGCAUUUUGUCCAUUCUGAGGUUGGAUUGGUUUCUCCUUUUGGCCUUGCCCUGCCCUACAGACCAUAAAGGAGAACAGCAAGAGGCCCCCAGCAAACACCCACAGAUGGCCCUGGACAUCAGCCACAUUCUGAGAAACGUCAUGUUGUGGGAGGGCUAAGGCAUCAAGUAAGGCCUAUGGGGCUGGAGGAUCCCAGGCAAGGUGGGGCAAUCCAGAGCCAUGGGGGCUUCCCAUGGGAAUUGGGAGGUCCCGAGGCAGAGUUAGAGGUUCCACGGGAGAAGUCACAGAGUCACCAAGGGCUCACCUGGCCCAGGGAGCAGUCAACACCAUGGACUGAACACCUGCUGGGCUCCAAGCCCUGGGCCAGGCUGCCCGUGUGGGGCCAGGAGGCAACUCAGAGUGGGAGGCAGAGAGAGAAGUAUGCUCAGAGGGCACCUGUAUCUGGAUGUAAUGUGGUCCUGAGACUCUGGCUGGGAAGUGCUUCCAGGUUAUCCUAUGUGUUAUGCAGCUACUUCCUCUCCCCAGCCUUACCCUGUAGGAAUUCUAGUGACUAUGUUGCCACCAUCUUGGAGCUCCAUGCCCUCAUAGUAUAGUGGCACCAGCAGAUCUGCCUGUGCAUGGACUUCCUGUACUACCUCACUCCUGAGGGGAGAUGCUUCUGCAGGGCCUAUGAACUGGUGCACAACUUUAGCCACCAUCGUCCUGGAGCAGCGCUACACCCUCACUAGCCAGGGUGUCGACAGCCUCAAGGCCAAGGCCACAUUCAAGACUUUGGACUUCACUGAUGCACUUGUGCCGAGCAAGGUGGGCAUCUCUGGGAUCUUAAUUCAGGAGGUAGAAUGCAGCUUCAGAUCAAGUGUCUGAUCAAAGAACUUGAACUUGAUCUGGAGGGCUCUGGGGAACCAUGGAAGGUUCUGGAUAAAGGGACAGUCAGCUGUGUUUUAGAGAUGACUGUGGAAGGCUUCCUGGAAGGAGUGAACAAGAGCCAGGAGACCAGGGAGGGAGCUUGUGGGGCAGGUCUGGAGAUGGCAAAGGAGGGAUCCUGCUUGGAUGAAAAGUCUUCAGGGACCAUCUCAGGUUACACUCAGGUGCCCUCUGAGUUAGUGUGUUCCAAGGCAGGGGCCUCAUCUGUCCCGUUCCUCCUGUGGCCUGGGUCCUAGCACCAUGUCUGGUACAGUGUAGGUGCUCAAGGGAAGUUUACUGUUGAAGAACUGUCUACCUGGGAGAGGUUACUGUUAAUCUAAGCUGCACUAUUUGGUAAACCCCUUGCUGUUUUGCAGAUCCUGGUCAGAGUAAAACAUUCCAUGGGAACUCGGGCUGUGAGAAGCAUCCUAACCACCUGACUGCAGAAACAUCCUUAUCACAUCCUGCUGGGCAAAGGCCCAACAGCCUGACUUCAGGAACAUCCUUAUCAUCUUCUACUGGGCAGCAAGCUAUACUGUCCAGAGCGCUCCCUCCCAGCCCCAUGAUUACCCCAGCCUGUGAGCGGCAGUGGGUGCUGACACUAAGCUGGUUUCCCCCUCCGCAGGGUUUUGCUAGUAAUAAACCUGUGUUGCUGUUGAAGCGGCCAA
This 1972-nucleotide small RNA is filed under the name Pongo abelii (Sumatran orangutan). RNAcentral describes it as "retained intron". The record is from RNAcentral. Lineage: Eukaryota; Metazoa; Chordata; Mammalia; Primates; Hominidae.